UGGGGAAUAUUGCACAAUGGGCGAAAGCCUGAUGCAGCAACGCCGCGUGGAGGAUGAAGGCCUUAGGGUUGUAAACUCUUGUCUUCUGGGACGAUAAUGACGGUACCAGAGGAGGAAGCCACGGCUAACUACGUGCCAGCAGCCGCGGUAAUACGUAGGUGGCAAGCGUUGUCCGGAUUUACUGGGCGUAAAGGAUGCGUAGGCGGAUAUUUAAGUGGGAUGUGAAAUACCCGGGCUCAACCUGGGUGCUGCAUUCCAAACUGGAUAUCUGGAGUGCGGGAGAGGAAAGUGGAAUUCCUAGUGUAGCGGUGAAAUGCGUAGAGAUUAGGAAGAACACCAGUGGCGAAGGCGACUUUCUGGACCGUAACUGACGCUGAGGCAUGAAAGCGUGGGGAGCAAACA
Molecule: ribosomal RNA, 402 nt
Filed under: uncultured bacterium
Lineage: Bacteria
Description: bacterial SSU rRNA
Rfam family: Bacterial small subunit ribosomal RNA
Source: RNAcentral